GCCUAACCUAACACACAAUUAAAUUACUAAUUAUCCGCCAAAUAACUACGAGUUAAAACUUAAAACUUAAAAGACUUGACGGUACUUCACACCACCCUAGAGGAGCCUGUCUAAUAACCGAUACCCCACGAUUAACCCAACCCUCCCUAGCCCCACAGUCUAUAUACCGCCAUCGCCAGCUCACCUUGUGAAAGAAACAAAGCGGGCUCAAUAGUCACCACUAAUACGAUAGGUCGAGGUGUAACUAAUGGGUGGGAACAGAUGGGCUACAUUUUCUAAUACAGAAAAUACGAACAAUCUACGAAAACAGAAACCGAAGGCGGAUUUAGCAGUAAAUUAGGGACAAUGAGCCUAAUCGAAAUAAACGCAAUGAAGUGUGUACACACCGCCCGUCAUCCCUGUAAAAAAACCAAUGAACUUCAUAAAUACACAAAACCAAUAAACAGGGCAAGUCGUAACAUGGUAAGCGUACUGGAAAGUGCGCUUAGAAA
RNAcentral lists this ribosomal RNA (491 nucleotides) under Hebius atemporalis (Tonkin keelback). RNAcentral's name for it is "Hebius atemporale (Tonkin keelback) partial 12S ribosomal RNA". It matches the Rfam family "Bacterial small subunit ribosomal RNA", at positions 834 to 1522 of the family's 1533-position model. The record is from RNAcentral. Lineage: Eukaryota; Metazoa; Chordata; Lepidosauria; Squamata; Natricidae.